UUUCCUCGUUCCAAGCAAAGAAGGAAAACGGAAGAUGCCAAAAGACGGUGGAGCAGAGGAACCAAAUCCUUCGUAGCACAGAGGUGACGGACCCCUGGGGGCCCCUGAGCCUGGCUGGUUAUUGCAGCAGCGCUCUGCACACAGAGAGGGGCCAAAGGGAGCUCCUGGUGUCCCCAUCAUUCCUUAAAGGGAGAGGCGUCAGUCCGGUCAUGGCCAGAACCUGACCAGUGCUCCACAGGUGAGCCUGAGGCAGCAGGGCGUAUAGUCCCCCCUCCUGUACUUGGUGUGGGUAGGGGGGUGGGGGUGUAAUGGGAAGGGCAUAUAAAAUCCAGAGCCACACGCAGCUGGUGCACACCUACCCAGGAGAGAGCAGCCCCCUCCAGCAGCACUGCAGACUAGCCUAUACCUGGACAGACCCCUUCGAUUCAGUAUGAAGCAGCUGACACAGGGACUCUACGCCCUGGCUCUGGUGGCCAGCCUGCAGGUUUUGUCGCCUGUCACAUCAGCAACAACUUCAUCCACAGAUCAUACAAGUCACAAUACAACAGUGCCCACAUCAGAUGUGACACACAGCUCAGAUGUUACAAGUGGAAAUGCAACAACAGCAAAUAGGAACGGAACCACGGCAACAACCAUGACGACGAUGACAAAAUACACAACUGUGAAGACAACCAAACAUCAUAGUGGCACCUCGGCACUCAGCACGUCCCAAUGCCCACUGCUGAUCUUGGUUUUGCUCCUGUGCCUAUUCUCCCCAUGGCACUGAGUGUCCCCUAGUGGCCUGGCAGUAGAGUAGCAUUUCAUUCAGAGUGUGGUAUUCUUCUUGUCGUUUCCUUUAUUCUGAGGAAGAGAGGUCAAAAUAGGUAUAAAAGACAAGUCAUUUUGGGAAUUUAGGUGAUAAUGGCGGCAAGACCACACCUUAGAAGACAGACCACAACCUGCAUACUGAAGUAACUUGAUUUCUUGUAACAUGGCGGCCUUAAUCUGUGUUGUGUUGGUCUGAGUGUACAAAUUAUCAAGGAAAACUCCCAUUUCCUUUUCAGAGUGCUGCUUCAGUAAUCUUAUGCUUCAGCCAUUUUCCUUGACAUCGUGUUAUGCAACCUGGUAUAUAUUUCAUUGUUUUUAUUCUUGUUUAUGCAAAUAGGAAAGUUCGGUUUUUUAUUUUUAAAUAAUCUGCAGGAAAAAAAAAAUCUUAAAAUGAUGUUUUCACCUUGGAAUAAUUAGGUAAAGUAGGGGCAAAGCAUGGUAAAUAUCACCCAGAAAUCUGUGCAACAUCUGUAAAAUAUAAGUCAGAUUCCUUUUUGAAAAAUUUUGAUGUUGUUUCAAAAUAUCAAAAAGAUUGUUUUCAGAUAUGCGGUUGCCAUGAAUAACCGCAUAAGGUAAAAAUGUGAAUGAUGUGAAUGAUGAAACAACAAAGAUUAUAAACCACAUAAGACAACAACAGAGACCAAGGUACCAGGGUUGGGAAAAGGCAACACAUUACAUCACAAGAAAUGAAAUAUAUACAUAUCAAAAUGUACAAAUGACAAAUACCAUUAAACAGACUUUACAGAGGAAGAACAGAAAACGCUUAUUUUUCCAGUGAUGAUGGAAGCUGAGAUGAAUUAGAGAGAGAAAAUAAAAUACAAACUCUAAGUAUAAAUGCCAUUCAGGCAAGAGUCAGCCGGCCAUGGUGCCGGGGAUUAGCCAAAGCUGCCCGACUCAUUAGCCAAAGUUUCCCUGACACAUUACCCUGCACGCCUGGCAUUCCAAGGCCUACACGGUGGCCAGAGGGAUCCUGACGCAACCAUGAAUACUGACCCUGUGGAGAUCCCGGCAAACGGUUCUGGUGGGAACGGUCAAGGUGUGCAUUUAAUUUGGCACUGAAUUGGGCACCUGUGGUUUUAUGUUUUUUGGAUACAAUCUGGGUUAGUGCCCAGGCUUCCCUUUCAGGCAGCUUCCUCUUGCGUCCACAGUUACUCCUGUUGGAUGUGGUCUGUCCUCCGUUGGUGGUAUGUUGAUGUUACCCUGGAUACCGUGACUCUCAAUACACCACGAGGAUUUGCUAUCCUGGUCACAGAUGCGCCAGCCAGACGCCCACCAACAAUUUGGCCUCUGCUGAACUCUGCCUCCCGUUAUGUCGUGUGGAUCGCAAUAUAUUAUGUACAGCUCUGCUGUUGCUCAGCUAAUUCAGCCUUCAUUCUCUGCUCUUACUUACGGAAUGUGCCAUCAGUGAAGACUGGCAUCCAGGCCACACAUAAAUAGGUGUGAAGCCUCGAACACUAUUUUGGCCAGUGUUUCAUUGUCCAACACCCUGUACAUCUUCUACUUGCUUACUCUGCUGAGCACCAACCUCAGGGUCAGAGGAACGGCGGCCUUGUGAUGGGCCACAGCUCAGGAGACCUGUGUUUUCCCCAGUAAUGAAUGUAGAACAUGUAUUGGAGCGAAACUAAAGAAGAAGGAACCUCAAUUCAAGAACAGAGCAAAGAGGUGCCUGACUGACUGUAUAUAAGCUGCCUUUAAGAUCAGCAUUCAGGCUGCAGCAGGCUGAGUUAUUGUCUCUUAAUGUAUCAUCACAGAAACAUUACAUUACACUGUCAGAGCUGCCAACUCUCUUGCAUCUGGCGUGACACACGCUUGUGCAAGAAACCUUAUGAGAAAUCUAUAUUAUUCCAUUAUAAACCUAAAAUUAGCUACAUUGAAGGGGUUGGGGUGGUUCGCAAACCCUAAAGGCUAUUUACAAGGUAAUAAAACUGUUACAUAAAUGUCAAUGCGUGUGCAGACGUGUCUCAAAUUGACAAUCUCACUCCAGCCAGCUGAAGGAAGUUGGCAAUUGUUUGGUACUUACACUCGAAUCACAAAACAGUCAAAAGGUGAGGUAAGGUAAAGAGCAGGCACUGAUUACAGUGCAUUGCUGUACCCCCCCCCCCCCCGCACGACAAACCACCUCAGGGAUGGGAACCUGAGUGCAGCAAUACGGCGGGUGAUACCUCAGCACCACUCUAGUUCCAAUGGACAAGUGUGAGGUUUUUUUUCCAGUGGGUUUAGUUUCAAUCCUGCCGUCAGCCCCCAAGUUUUCCCUGGAAGUUAAUGGCCCCGCUCAAGGACCCAAUAGGGUAGAAUCACAUGGGAAUUCACAGGAUUAAAACCAGCAACCUUCCAUUUCCUGGCACAGAGCCACCACUCCACCCACAAAAGAACAGCGUUUGGAUCACUGUAAGCAAGCGUCGGCAUCACUAAGUGGAAGGACCCCUGCCACCAGGACGAUGUACCCAUUUCACACUCUGCUCGUCUUGAUGUCCACCAGUGCACAGCCAACAGCAGGGCAAGAACCAGCAAUGACAACCAAGGAAACCUUCAUCACUUUGUCGCUUCCAAUCCCGAAACCACUGAAACUGCAGAGUCAACAACUGCCAUGUCACUGUCAAUACAAAGUACUGCCACUGAAACAUCCGAAACAGCUGCAGCCAACACAUCGAUGUCUACGGCAGCAGCUAGACCUACUCUACAAAUGGUAACUCAACCGCGUCACCUGCGACUAAUGCAUCUUCAUCAACAAACACUGUGAGCACAGCAUCCAUGGCAGCGUCCAAGACAAACAGCGGCUGCCCAGUUAGCAAGAAACUCACGCUGAUAAGCUCCUUGAUUCCUGUUUUGCUUCAUGCCCUGUUGACCUGAGUAUGCCGCAUGCAUAAGAGAAGUAAUAGCAGAAACCUGGGAAGAGUGCAAAUCCUAGGUUUUAUGGAGAGGAGGAACUGAAACAUGGACAAUGCAUGUGGCAAUUAUUCUACAGUUCUACCCUUACAUUACAUGACUCUAAUACUCUACUCUGGCAUUACAUUAUAUAGUUCUUCAUGUCAAGAACUAAAAAUUAAAUGUAAAUAAUAUCAAUAUAUAUCUACCUAUACAGUUGGAUAAAAUAUUUUUGAAAAUAUAUAGAUGGCUUUCGAUACUGAAAAGCAUAUAUACUUUUCAAACUAUAAUUUUAUUCGUUCGCUCCUGUCAUCCAGGUUUGUAGUUUGUCCAAUGAUUAAAAUAAAAUGACUAAGAGUUUAACCCCAAAAUGCAGGAAAUAAAAGAUUUCC
Long non-coding RNA from Brienomyrus brachyistius, 4064 nucleotides. RefSeq lists it as uncharacterized. The transcript is spliced from 5 exons. Lineage: Eukaryota; Metazoa; Chordata; Actinopteri; Osteoglossiformes; Mormyridae. The record is from RefSeq and is a predicted model, not a curated record.